Papaver somniferum (opium poppy) is the source of this 966-nucleotide long non-coding RNA. RefSeq lists it as uncharacterized. The record is from RefSeq and is a predicted model, not a curated record. The transcript has 2 exons. NCBI's taxonomy places the organism in Eukaryota, Viridiplantae, Streptophyta, Magnoliopsida, Ranunculales, Papaveraceae.
AGCAGCUAAAGGGGCAGUCCUUUCUUUUUCUCUGUGACUAAAAAUAUAAAGGAAAGCACCUCCUUUCUCUUUUAAGUUUUCACUGAAAUUUUCUUCCCUCUUCUUCUGCAAAAGAAAUCUUAUUUUCUUUUUAAAAUGGAAUUCAAGCAUAACCCACCAUCCGUUUCCGGCUGAAUUUGUAUUCUGCAAAGAGUAAGAGCGGAGCUUGCAGCAGUAAGCCGGGCAUAGCUUACGGCAGGCUUUUAGUGCUUCGAAAGUCGGUAUUUUGCUAAGCUAAUGAUAUGUAUAUCACGGGGUUGUCUUGGGUAGUUGUAUAUCGACAUUGACCUACAACUUCGUUGCGUUGCAUUUUCGGUGCAAGGUCAGUUUUGGAUUUUUUAUUUUGACUGCAUGUAUACCUAUCUUUUACUGCCAGGUCUUAAAUUUAUGUAUUACUAUCUGUCAAACUUUUAUUUUUUUAUAUAUACUUAAGUCAUGUUCUUGCUACAAGACUAAUUAAAAUGGAUGUCAGUUGAUCUUGUUUAGUACUGUGUGUUCAUCUUGUUUUGAACUAUUACUUAAGUGUGUUAUACGUGACAUGUCAUGCACUUCAUUUUGUUCUUAAUCUCCUUAUAUACUCUUUUGCUCCUUAAGUUAAAAAAAUCCCCCACUCAGUUGAGAGAAUGUGGAUGGUGGAGUCUGACUUUUGGAAAUAAUUUGAAUCUUCUUUCUUUUGUUUUAAAUUAACCGGUGAUAUUAGUUGCCAUGUUGGCUAAGUUCGAUACUAGUUUUGUUUCAAUUAUGUGCAGUCCUUUUAGCUUGUCAAAUUUUAUAUCUUAUCUUGUAGCCAGAAAUGCAAGUAGAGGUUAAAAUGUUUUCUCUUCGGGUUUGUUCGAGUCAACGGACUAAAGGGUUUCAUUUUAAAUCUCAAACAAAUUUCAGUACUGGACUCUUGUAAAUUUACUAGUAUUUGACACUCUUUUUACG